RNAcentral lists this ribosomal RNA (269 nucleotides) under uncultured prokaryote. RNAcentral's name for it is "partial 16S ribosomal RNA". It matches the Rfam family "Bacterial small subunit ribosomal RNA", at positions 524 to 792 of the family's 1533-position model. The record is from RNAcentral.
GACGAAGGGGUCAAGCGUUGUUCGGAAUCACUGGGCUUAAAGAGCGCGUAGGCGGAAAGUUAAGUGUUUUGUGAAAUCCCUCGGCUCAACCGAGGAAUUGCAGGGCAUACUGGCUUUCUUGAGGCAAGUAGAGGUGCAUGGAACUCUGGGUGGAGCGGUGAAAUGCGUAGAUAUCCAGAGGAACGCCAGCGGUGAAAACGGUGCACUGGGCUUGUCCUGACGCUGAGGAGCGAAAGCGUGGGGAGCGAACGGGAUUAGAUACCCUCGUA